This is a long non-coding RNA of Phacochoerus africanus (Common warthog), 616 nucleotides long. RefSeq lists it as uncharacterized. NCBI's taxonomy places the organism in Eukaryota, Metazoa, Chordata, Mammalia, Artiodactyla, Suidae. The transcript is spliced from 5 exons. The record is from RefSeq and is a predicted model, not a curated record.
GUUUGCCUGCCUCAGUUAACUCUGAUCUCCAUGAGGACAGAAUCUGUCUUGAAGUCUUUGACCCCCGGGCGCUAGCCUUCAGCACUUGGGACGGCUUCUCAUCAUCACCAGGAUUGUGUAAGGGAGCAGCCAUCACUGCUGGAGUUUGAAGGGACCAAUAAGCAUACAAAGCAGAGAGACAGACGAAGUAAUGGGUCAGCCAAAAUGUGAAUGGAAGCCGAAUUGGAGAACAAGACUCAAAUGAGCAGCAACCCAGGGUCUCCUGAUGCUCUUGCCUCCAAGUUGGUCCUAGAGGAGCCCCCUCAACAGAUAUUCGGGGUCUUCAGAAUGGAUGCUGACGUCCCUUCACUUAUCCAGACAAGGUCUCUCUCAUGGCAUAAACUAUGAAAUCGGCAGUUCUGGAUGUUUAGGAGAUGCACAUAGAAUAGAGAUUCCCCAGGGAAUUGACGGCAUGGAAGAGGACGUGACCACGUCUAUCAGGCAGUGCACCGGAGACUGAAAUGUGGGAGCUCUCAUGGCAGGCAAACCGGAUCAAAUCUCCACCGUAAGUAGCAGUGUCUGGAGGUAAGCUUCCCUUGCCAGAGACAUCUCCUCCUUAUCUCUCCUCUCUCUGUCU